RNAcentral lists this unclassified non-coding RNA (335 nucleotides) under soil metagenome. Its description in RNAcentral is "partial contains 5.8S ribosomal RNA, internal transcribed spacer 2, and large subunit ribosomal RNA". The stretch from base 1 to 121 matches the Rfam family "5.8S ribosomal RNA", at positions 35 to 154 of the family's 154-position model. The record is from RNAcentral.
GAUGAAGAACGCAGCGAAAUGCGAUAAGUAAUGCGAAUUGCAGAAUUUCCGUGAGUCAUCGAAUCUUUGAACGCACAUUGCGCCCCUUGGUAUUCCAUGGGGCAUGCCUGUUCGAGCGUCAUUUGUACCUUCAAGCUUUGCUUGGUGUUGGGUGUUUGUCCAUUCUCUUGCAGAGGGACUCGCCUUAAAGUAAUUGGCAGCCAGUGUUUUGGUUUUGAAGCGCAGCACAAGUCGCGAUUCAAAGCUAUACGCCCGCUUCCACAAGCCUUUUUCACUUUUGACCUCGGAUCAGGUAGGGAUACCCGCUGAACUUAAGCAUAUCAAUAAGCGGAGGA